AGAGUUUGAUCAUGGCUCAGGACGAACGCUGGCGGCGUGCUUAACACAUGCAAGUCGAACGGAAAGGCCCUGCUUGCAGGGUACUCGAGUGGCGAACGGGUGAGUAACACGUGGGUGAUCUGCCCUGCACUUCGGGAUAAGCCUGGGAAACUGGGUCUAAUACCGGAUAGGAGCCAUUUUUAGUGUGAUGGUUGGAAAGUUUUUUCGGUGUAGGAUGAGCUCGCGGCCUAUCAGCUUGUUGGUGGGGUAAUGGCCUACCAAGGCGGCGACGGGUAGCCGGCCUGAGAGGGUGGACGGCCACAUUGGGACUGAGAUACGGCCCAGACUCCUACGGGAGGCAGCAGUGGGGAAUAUUGCACAAUGGGCGCAAGCCUGAUGCAGCGACGCCGCGUGGGGGAUGACGGCCUUCGGGUUGUAAACUCCUUUCGCUAGGGACGAAGCUUUUUGUGACGGUACCUAGAUAAGAAGCACCGGCUAACUACGUGCCAGCAGCCGCGGUAAUACGUAGGGUGCGAGCGUUGUCCGGAAUUACUGGGCGUAAAGGGCUCGUAGGUGGUUUGUCGCGUCGUCUGUGAAAUUCCGGGGCUUAACUCCGGGCGUGCAGGCGAUACGGGCAUAACUUGAGUACUGUAGGGGUAACUGGAAUUCCUGGUGUAGCGGUGAAAUGCGCAGAUAUCAGGAGGAACACCGAUGGCGAAGGCAGGUUACUGGGCAGUUACUGACGCUGAGGAGCGAAAGCAUGGGUAGCGAACAGGAUUAGAUACCCUGGUAGUCC
This 775-nucleotide ribosomal RNA is filed under the name uncultured prokaryote. RNAcentral's name for it is "bacterial SSU rRNA". It matches the Rfam family "Bacterial small subunit ribosomal RNA", at positions 8 to 796 of the family's 1533-position model. The record is from RNAcentral.